UUUAUUACUCAGUAACUAAAUUUUGAAUUUUAAAAAGCCCCAAAAAAAGUUUACAAAAAUAUAAUACAAACCCUUAACCAAUUCACUUUCACAAAAUAGACGGAGUAAUACACCAUGUUAAAUAGAUAAUAUUAGAAGGCAAGAAGUCAUUUCGCAAAGGCAAUAAAUAUAGCUAAUCAUGGAGAAAGCUGGAUACCAUUAAGCAGGUGCAAGCGAGUUUUAAUAUACAAUAUAUAUAUACUUGCAUAUAUAUAAAUAAGUAUGCACAUUUGUGCUUACGUCUUUGCACAUACAUAUGUACAUGUGUGUAUGUGAUAUCUACAUAGAUAUGUGCAUAUGUAUAUCUUGUAUUCGGCGACAUUCCCGAUUACGACAAUACAAAAAAGAAGUCAUACAUAUAAAAUGUUCAUCGGUUUGAAUGCACUUUAUAACGAGUGCAUAUACACGACGAACAUUAGCGAAUACACGAUUUUUUCUUGGUUAUGAAAAAUUAAUGAAACGACAAACACACCAACAGACUCAACCAUUAUAAAAAUCCAUAAUUGUAUCUAGAAUGCGUAGAUGUGCAAACCCAAAAGUAUACAUACAUACAUGCAUUUGUGCAUUUUGUCUCCGUACUUUGACAUUUCUAACCGGAGCAUAUGUAUAUGAACAUCUACAUAGAAUCGUACUAUUUUCUUAAUUCAUCACUUUUUCUACAAUAAGCUACAAAUUAUAAGCUUCAUAUAUUAUUAUAUUAAAUAUUUGUCGUAGCAUAAUCGAUGGGGUGGUAUCAUAAGAGUGGUGUCAUUGUGUGAAAACGAGCGAGAGGAGAAACAUAAAACUUAAAAAAAAAAACACUCAACUAAUUUCCAACUUCUCUACCAUACAAACGCAAACAUAGUCAUUGACGUCGCCAUCGCAAUUGCCAUCUCGCGGAACCACUCGCCGUCGCGGAGACAAACGAAGCAAACUCGAAUGAAAUCAAAUCCAGUGGGGUAAGGUGUGAUAUGCGGUCGCGAAUGGGGAGCUCUACUACAGGCACUGUACGACGGUCAAAUGCAAGCAUUCAAACAUACAUACACGAAUAUUUACAUAAAGCAAACACAAGCACAAGCAAAAGUCCAGUACCACAAAUUUCAAUUAUGCAAAGCACUGCGAUCAUAAAGAAGAAAUCAAAUCGUUUUUCUCCGUCACACAGAACUUUUUCAGAAUAUUUUCUCACAAUUUUCGUUCAAUAUGAACUUUUAGCAUGCGGUUUUUAUUUCUUACUGUUUUUCUUUGUUUUUUUUUUUCUUUACUUAUUUUGUCUCUUUGGCAUCAUUUUUUAUCUAUUUCAUUUUAUGUAUUUUUUUAUCACAGAUAUUUAUUGCACUUUAUUGUUUAUGUUCAUUAUUUACUCUGGCGAUUACAAACUCUGAGAAGUGAUUUAUCAAUAAAAAAGAUUUAUGAUAAAAAAAAUUCACUGCUGUCGCUUUUUGGUGAAACGUAACCAAAUAGCAAUGUCCAACAGCAGAAAAUGAAAUGAAAAAACCCAAUAUCGCCUUCGUUGGUUAUCGUGGACGCGAAGUACAGAAAUUUUUCUUCUACUCGUUUUCUCCCCAAUUCUCGAUUUUCACCGAAUGUCUGCAAUUCAACUGUAGCAAAAAAUUUUCAAAGUCAUUUUUUACAGUAACUACACAAUUUCUUCACAAAAUUUUUAUUGCAAAUAAUAGCCGGCCACUGAGACGUACGCACCAAAUCAAAGACCUCCAUUUUGUUUUCAGAAUUCUUUCCUUUUGCCGACGACGAUAGAAAUGACAGCGGAAAACGGCGAUUGCGGCGAUUUAAUCCACAGCGUUGCCAUAAAAUAACCAAAAAAUGCCAAAUCGCACUGUGAAUAGGGGAUUUGUGAGAAGUACUAUGUUGAGGAAAUUUGAAGAUUUCAAAAGUAAACGCACUAAAAUUUUUGCAUCACAAUAAAUAU
Molecule: long non-coding RNA, 1945 nt
Filed under: Ceratitis capitata (Mediterranean fruit fly)
Lineage: Eukaryota; Metazoa; Arthropoda; Insecta; Diptera; Tephritidae
Description: uncharacterized LOC110118863
Source: RNAcentral